Molecule: ribosomal RNA, 274 nt
Filed under: uncultured bacterium
Lineage: Bacteria
Description: partial 16S ribosomal RNA
Rfam family: Bacterial small subunit ribosomal RNA
Source: RNAcentral
AUACGGAGGGUGCAAGCGUUGUUCGGAAUUACUGGGCGUAAAGCGCGUGUAGGCGGUCGGGCAAGUCGAAUGUGAAAUCCCCGGGCUCAACCCGGGAAUUGCAUCCGAAACUGCUUGGCUAGAGUCCCGGAGAGGAAGGCAGAAUUCCCAGUGUAGGGGUGAAAUCCGUAGAUAUUGGGAGGAAUACCAGUGGCGAAGGCGGCCUUCUGGACGGUGACUGACGCUGAGAUGCGAAAGCGUGGGGAGUAAACAGGAUUAGAAACCCCAGUAGUCC